Molecule: ribosomal RNA, 504 nt
Filed under: uncultured bacterium
Lineage: Bacteria
Description: partial 16S ribosomal RNA
Rfam family: Bacterial small subunit ribosomal RNA
Source: RNAcentral
AUUGAACGCUGGCGGCAUGCCUUACACAUGCAAGUCGAACGGCAGCAUGGAGAGCUUGCUCUCUGAUGGCGAGUGGCGAACGGGUGAGUAAAGCAUCGGAACGUACCGUGUAGUGGGGGAUAACGUAGCGAAAGUUACGCUAAUACCGCAUACGCACUGAGGUGGAAAGCAGGGGAUCGUAAGACCUUGCGCUAUACGAGCGGCCGAUGUCAGAUUAGCUAGUUGGUAGGGUAAAGGCCUACCAAGGCGACGAUCUGUAGCGGGUCUGAGAGGAUGAUCCGCCACACUGGGACUGAGACACGGCCCAGACUCCUACGGGAGGCAGCAGUGGGGAACUUUGGACAAUGGGGGCAACCCUGAUCCAGCCAUGCCGCGUGAGUGAAGAAGGCCUUCGGGUUGUAAAGCUCUUUCGGCCGGGAAGAAAUCGCACAGGCUAAUACCCUGUGUGGAUGACGGUACCGGCAUAAGAAGCACCGGCUAACUACGUGCCAGCAGCCGCCGCAG